This 204-nucleotide unclassified non-coding RNA is filed under the name root metagenome. RNAcentral's name for it is "partial contains small subunit ribosomal RNA, internal transcribed spacer 1, and 5.8S ribosomal RNA". The record is from RNAcentral.
UCUCCGUUGGUGAACCAGCGGAGGGAUCAUUACAGAGUUGCAAAACUCCCACACCCUUUGUGAACGCACUGAAACUACUGCUUCGGCGGGCAGCCCUUCAGGGGGUAGCCCGCCGGAGAAGCACUAAACUCUUGUAUUUUUGGCUUCUCUGAGUCUUCUGUACUGAAUAAGUCAAAACUUUCAACAACGGAUCUCUUGGUUCUG